RNAcentral lists this unclassified non-coding RNA (249 nucleotides) under Hevea brasiliensis (rubber tree). The record is from RNAcentral. Lineage: Eukaryota; Viridiplantae; Streptophyta; Magnoliopsida; Malpighiales; Euphorbiaceae.
GCGCCGUCUGGUACGCCGUCGCCCACAACACAUCGUCCAGCGUCGCCGUUCCGGCGAGCUUGCGGCUGAACGAAUAGAGAUACUCGGUCGUGCGCGCCCUGCCCGUCGCCAUCACGGCCUGGGUCCGCACCCGCGCCGCAACGUUGGACACAAUCAUUGCGAUCAGCAUGAAGAAGAAGAACGCCGCNAGAACGCCGCGACGUUGGUCGGGUCGGUAAUGGUGAACGUAUAGACCGGUGGGAGAAAGAA